CCUACGGGGGGCAGCAGUGAGGAAUAUUGGUCAAUGGACGAGAGUCUGAACCAGCCAAGUAGCGUGAAGGAUGACUGCCCUAUGGGUUGUAAACUUCUUUUAUAUGGGAAUAAAAUGUUCCACGUGUGGGAUUUUGUAUGUACCAUAUGAAUAAGGAUCGGCUAACUCCGUGCCAGCAGCCGCGGUAAUACGGAGGAUCCGAGCGUUAUCGGGUUUUAUUGGGUUUAAAGGGAGCGUAGGUGGAUUGUUAAGUCAGUUGUGAAAGUUUGCGGCUCAACCGUAAAAUUGCAGUUGAAACUGGCAGUCUUGAGUACAGUAGAGGUGAGCGGAAUUCGUGGUGUAGCGGUGAAAUGCUUAGAUAUCACGAAGAACUCCGAUUGCGAAGGCAGUUCACUGGACUGCAACUGACACUGAGGCUCGAAAGUGUGGGUAUCAAACAGGAUUAGAUACCCGUGUAGUC
This 460-nucleotide ribosomal RNA is filed under the name uncultured bacterium. RNAcentral describes it as "partial 16S ribosomal RNA". It matches the Rfam family "Bacterial small subunit ribosomal RNA", at positions 338 to 795 of the family's 1533-position model. The record is from RNAcentral.